The submitters of this non-coding RNA (90 nucleotides) gave its source as unclassified sequences. The record is from Rfam.
AUCAAGGGCGGGCCGGGCGGGGAGACCUUCGGGUCUGCCGGUGCUCCAGAGAGCCGGUUUGCUACCCCCGCCGUCAGGCCCGCCACCCGU